Long non-coding RNA from Papaver somniferum (opium poppy), 355 nucleotides. RefSeq lists it as uncharacterized. The record is from RefSeq and is a predicted model, not a curated record. The transcript has 2 exons. Lineage: Eukaryota; Viridiplantae; Streptophyta; Magnoliopsida; Ranunculales; Papaveraceae.
AAACAACUAAACACUACCAUGUGUUCUCUAGUUAUGCUGUCAUUGGACCGGUUACUCUUGUUUGUACAAUUGGAAGCCCAUAAAUGAUUAUGGGUUAUGACUGUUAUCCUGACUAUCAUGACUGCGAGACUGAUGAAAUCAUGGAUCCAAGUGAUUUGUGAUGUGAUAUAGAUGGAGUACUUGGAGAUGUUUCAGGAGCUCAUGUAAGAGAACGGCCAACUGAGAGUUUGAUUUGAUUUUAAAGUUUUUAAAGUUUAAUAUGUAAUUUUGGAUUACUAUUUUUUUUUUAAAUUGUGUUCAUCGAUUCUAUUUUUAUGAAUGUUGUUUUAGUAAUUAAUGAAAAGUUUAUUUUCAA